UACGUAGGGUGCAAGCGUUGUCCGGAAUUAUUGGGCGUAAAGAGCUCGUAGGCGGUCUGUCGCGUCGGCUGUGAAAUCCCGAGGCUCAACCUCGGGUCUGCAGUCGAUACGGGCAAACUAGAGUAUUGCAGGGGAGACUGGAAUUCCUGGUGUAGCGGUGAAAUGCGCAGAUAUCAGGAGGAACACCGGUGGCGAAGGCGGGUCUCUGGGCAACAACUGACGCUGAGGAGCGAAAGCGUGGGGAGCAAACAGG
RNAcentral lists this ribosomal RNA (253 nucleotides) under uncultured bacterium. Its description in RNAcentral is "partial 16S ribosomal RNA". It matches the Rfam family "Bacterial small subunit ribosomal RNA", at positions 524 to 776 of the family's 1533-position model. The record is from RNAcentral.